GUGCUCGCUUAGGCAGCACAUAUAAUAAAAUUGGAAUGAUACAGAGAAGAUUAGCAUGGCCCCUGCACAAGGAUAACAUUGGAAAUUUGUGAAGCAUUCUAUAUUUUU
Erinaceus europaeus (western European hedgehog) is the source of this 108-nucleotide small nuclear RNA. The record is from Ensembl. NCBI's taxonomy places the organism in Eukaryota, Metazoa, Chordata, Mammalia, Eulipotyphla, Erinaceidae.